GAUGAACGCUGGCGGCGUGCCUAAUACAUGCAAGUCGAGCGAACAGACGAGGAGCUUGCUCCUCUGACGUUAGCGGCGGACGUGUGAGUAACACGUGGAUAACCUACCUAUAAGACUGGGAUAACUUCGGGAAACCGGAGCUAAUACCGGAUAAUAUAUUGAACCGCAUGGUUCAAUAGUGAAAGACGGUUUUGCUGUCACUUAUAGAUGGAUCCGCGCCGCAUUAGCUAGUUGGUAAGGUAACGGCUUACCAAGGCAACUAUGCGUAGCCGACCUGAGAGGGUGAUCGGCCACACUGGAACUGAGACACGGUCCAGACUCCUACGGGAGGCAGCAGUAGGGAAUCUUCCGCGAUGGGCGAAAGCCUGACGGAGCAACGCCGCGUGAGUGAUGAAGGUCUUCGGAUCGUAAAACGCUGUUAUUAGGGAAGAACAAAUGUGUAAGUAACUAUGCACGUCUUGACGGUACCUAAUCAGAAAGCCACGGCUAACUACGUG
Molecule: ribosomal RNA, 497 nt
Filed under: uncultured bacterium
Lineage: Bacteria
Description: partial 16S ribosomal RNA
Rfam family: Bacterial small subunit ribosomal RNA
Source: RNAcentral